CCCUUAGAUGUUCUGGGCCGCACGCGUGCUACACUGAGUGGAUCAGCGGGUCAGGUUGCGCGAAAGUGUUUCCUAAUCUUUAAAUCCGCUCGUGAUGGGGAUUGACGGUUGCAAUUUUCCGUCAUGAACGAGGAAUACCUUGUAAGCGCGGGUCAUCAUCCCGCGCUGAAUACGUCCCUGCCCUUUGUACACACCGCCCGUCGCUCCUACCGAUUGAAUGUUCCGGUGAGCUCUUCGGACUGCGCGGUCUGCAGUUUCUGCGUUCUGUGCGGAAAGUUGUGCAAACCUUAACAUUUAGAGGAAGGAGAAGUCGUAACA
Molecule: ribosomal RNA, 318 nt
Filed under: uncultured eukaryote
Lineage: Eukaryota
Description: partial 18S ribosomal RNA
Rfam family: Eukaryotic small subunit ribosomal RNA
Source: RNAcentral